CUUCAGCUAUGGGUUACUACUGAUGCAGGAUCUUUUCCUGGUGCACCUCUCUUUUGUCUCUGCCCCUUCCUCCUGUCAAGAGCAAAAUGUCUUUCUCUGUGCUUAGUAGAGGUGCUGUGCAACACUGAAGAGCGGCAUCCUGAGCAAGUCCCUAGGGAACCAAGAGCUGUUUUUGGCAAGACUGUUGUUGCCCCGUUGGAAAUCACCAGGCUGCAUUCGAGCUGCUGAUACAGGCGUGCACUUGUGCCUUGGGCACACAGAUCUCAUCUGCCUGGUGAGACAGGAGGCAAAUUGAAAUCCAUAAAGCAGGAUUUAAACCGUUGAGGCAUUCCUAUUAAUUAGUCUCCUGAACGUAGAAAAGGCAGAGAGAACUUGCCCCGCUGAAGGCCUGGGAGGCUCCUGGAGCAGGGGGCUGUCAGUCACAGCGCAGCCGUGACUCAGCAGGGCUGCACAUCCCGGCACUGCAAAGCCAAGGCUUGCAGCCCUCACGCUGCACAAGGCCUGGGACAGCAGGUGAGAAGCAGCAUCCCAGCUCCACGGUCCCAAGGAUGAGGCAGGGUGUUGACCAGGACAGGGAGAUGCAGAUGGGGGGCAGCUCUUCCCCUUUUUGCCUAUUUGCCCGUGGCAAAU
RNAcentral lists this long non-coding RNA (630 nucleotides) under Cyanistes caeruleus (blue tit). Its description in RNAcentral is "lncRNA (ENSCCEG00000018921.1)". The record is from RNAcentral. Lineage: Eukaryota; Metazoa; Chordata; Aves; Passeriformes; Paridae.